Molecule: ribosomal RNA, 228 nt
Filed under: uncultured bacterium
Lineage: Bacteria
Description: partial 16S ribosomal RNA
Rfam family: Bacterial small subunit ribosomal RNA
Source: RNAcentral
UACAGGGGGGGGCAAGCGUUGUUCGGAAUUACUGGGCGUAAAGCGCGCGUAGGCGGACCUGCAAGUCGGGGGUGAAAGCCCGAGGCUCAACCUCGGAACUGCCUUCGAUACUGCGGGUCUCGAGUCCGGGAGAGGUGAGUGGAAUUCCUAGUGUAGAGGUGAAAUUCGUAGAUAUUAGGAAGAAACACCAGUGGCGAAGGCGGCUCACUGGCCCGGUACGUGGACGCU